UUGUCUCAAAGAUUAAGCCAUGCAUGUCUAAGUAUAAGCAAUCUAUACAGUGAAACUGCGAAUGGCUCAUUAAAUCAGUUAUCGUUUAUUUGAUAGUACCUUACUACUUGGAUAACCGUGGUAAUUCUAGAGCUAAUACAUGCUAAAAAUCCCGACCUCUGGAAGGGAUGUAUUUAUUAGAUAAAAAACCAAUGCCUUCGGGCUCCUUGGUGAUUCAUGAUAACUUUACGAAUCGCAUGGCCUUGUGCCGGCGAUGGUUCAUUCAAAUUUCUGCCCUAUCAACUUUCGAUGGUAGGAUAGUGGCCUACCAUGGUUUCAACGGGUAACGGGGAAUUAGGGUUCUAUUCCGGAGAGGGAGCCUGAGAAACGGCUACCACAUCCAAGGAAGGCAGCAGGCGCGCAAAUUACCCAAUCCCGACACGGGGAGGUAGUGACAAUAAAUACUGAUACAGGGCCCUUUCGGGUCUUGUAAUCGGAAUGAGUACAAUUUAAAUCCCUUAACGAGGAACAAUUGGAGGGCAAGU
This 524-nucleotide ribosomal RNA is filed under the name Desertella sp. MM-2015. RNAcentral's name for it is "SSU rRNA". It matches the Rfam family "Eukaryotic small subunit ribosomal RNA", at positions 32 to 560 of the family's 1831-position model. Lineage: Eukaryota; Fungi; Ascomycota; Pezizomycetes; Pezizales; Pyronemataceae. The record is from RNAcentral.